CAUUACUGAAUGUCGAAGGUUGUAGCUGACACCUUUGGGUGUAUGUGCUCGCCUUCAAUUCAUUUUACCACCUGUGAACCUUUGUAGACUGUGGAUGUUGGUUUCAACUAGCAAUAGUUGGUUUGAAGGUUGCUUAACGGCUUCCUUGCGCGUCCCAGUUUAUGUUUAUCAUAUACUCUGUAUGUUUUGAAUGUCAAUUUAUGGGUCUUGUACCUAUAGAACCUUAUACAACUUUCANCAACGGAUCUCUUGGCUCUCGCAUCGAUGAAGAACGCAGCGAAAUGCGAUAAGUAAUGUGAAUUGCAGAAUUCAAGUGAAUCAUCGAAUCUUUGAACGCACCUUGCGCUCCUUGGUAUUCCGAGGAGCAUGCCUGUUUGAGUGUCAUUAAAUUCUCAAACCUUUAUUUGGUUUUACUAGAUGAAGGCUUUGGAUGUGGAGGNUGCUGGAUUCUAACGAAGGUCAGCUCUUCUUAAAUGCAUUAGUGGUUAUCGAUCCCAUUUCCUGGUGUGAUAAUAUCUACGCCUUGAAAGAAAGAUCUAAUGUAACUGCUUUCUAACCGUCUGCAAAGACAACUUGAACCAUUUGACCUCAAAUCAGGUAGGACUACCC
Molecule: ribosomal RNA, 609 nt
Filed under: uncultured Basidiomycota
Lineage: Eukaryota; Fungi; Basidiomycota
Description: eukaryotic LSU rRNA
Rfam family: 5.8S ribosomal RNA (bases 230-384)
Source: RNAcentral